RNAcentral lists this ribosomal RNA (465 nucleotides) under Vreelandella stevensii. Its description in RNAcentral is "partial 16S ribosomal RNA". It matches the Rfam family "Bacterial small subunit ribosomal RNA", at positions 338 to 795 of the family's 1533-position model. Lineage: Bacteria; Pseudomonadati; Pseudomonadota; Gammaproteobacteria; Oceanospirillales; Halomonadaceae. The record is from RNAcentral.
CCUACGGGGGGCUGCAGUGGGGAAUAUUGGACAAUGGGGGCAACCCUGAUCCAGCCAUGCCGCGUGUGUGAAGAAGGCCCUCGGGUUGUAAAGCACUUUCAGUGAGGAAGAACGCCUGGUGGUUAAUACCCAUCAGGAAAGACAUCACUCACAGAAGAAGCACCGGCUAACUCCGUGCCAGCAGCCGCGGUAAUACGGAGGGUGCGAGCGUUAAUCGGAAUUACUGGGCGUAAAGCGCGCGUAGGUGGCUUGAUAAGCCGGUUGUGAAAGCCCCGGGCUCAACCUGGGAACGGCAUCCGGAACUGUCAAGCUAGAGUGCAGGAGAGGAGGGUAGAAUUCCCGGUGUAGCGGUGAAAUGCGUAGAGAUCGGGAGGAAUACCAGUGGCGAAGGCGGCCUUCUGGACUGACACUGACACUGAGGUGCGAAAGCGUGGGUAGCAAACAGGAUUAGAUACCCGUGUAGUC